RNAcentral lists this transfer RNA (56 nucleotides) under Dierogekko thomaswhitei. RNAcentral describes it as "tRNA-Cys". The record is from RNAcentral. Lineage: Eukaryota; Metazoa; Chordata; Lepidosauria; Squamata; Diplodactylidae.
CUAUUAAAGGGUACGUUUUCAAAUUUGCAAUUUGACGUGUUACUCACUACGGGNCU